Acanthosepion pharaonis is the source of this 109-nucleotide non-coding RNA. The record is from the annotation of a GenBank genome assembly. Lineage: Eukaryota; Metazoa; Mollusca; Cephalopoda; Sepiida; Sepiidae.
GACGGCCACAUUAUGUUAAAACAUCGGUUCCCGUACGAUCACCAAAAGUUAAGCAUUUUGGAGCCUGGGCAGUACUUAGAUGGCUGAUCACUUGGGAAUAUCAGGUGCU